RNAcentral lists this ribosomal RNA (253 nucleotides) under uncultured bacterium. RNAcentral describes it as "partial 16S ribosomal RNA". It matches the Rfam family "Bacterial small subunit ribosomal RNA", at positions 524 to 776 of the family's 1533-position model. The record is from RNAcentral.
UACGUAGGGUGCGAGCGUUGUCCGGAAUUAUUGGGCGUAAAGGGCUCGUAGGCGGUUUGUCGCGUCGGGAGUGAAAACCUCGGGCUUAACUCGGGGCUUGCUUUCGAUACGGGCAGACUGGAGGUAUGCAGGGGAGAACGGAAUUCCUGGUGUAGCGGUGAAAUGCGCAGAUAUCAGGAGGAACACCGGUGGCGAAGGCGGGUCUCUGGGCCGAUACUGACGCUGAGGAGCGAAAGCGUGGGGAGCGAACAGG